Molecule: ribosomal RNA, 532 nt
Filed under: Escherichia coli
Lineage: Bacteria; Pseudomonadati; Pseudomonadota; Gammaproteobacteria; Enterobacterales; Enterobacteriaceae
Description: partial 23S ribosomal RNA
Rfam family: Bacterial large subunit ribosomal RNA
Source: RNAcentral
UGUGUGUUAGUGGAAGCGUCUGGAAAGGCGCGCGAUACAGGGUGACAGCCCCGUACACAAAAAUGCACAUGCUGUGAGCUCGAUGAGUAGGGCGGGACACGUGGUAUCCUGUCUGAAUAUGGGGGGACCAUCCUCCAAGGCUAAAUACUCCUGACUGACCGAUAGUGAACCAGUACCGUGAGGGAAAGGCGAAAAGAACCCCGGCGAGGGGAGUGAAAAAGAACCUGAAACCGUGUACGUACAAGCAGUGGGAGCCUCUUUAUGGGGUGACUGCGUACCUUUUGUAUAAUGGGUCAGCGACUUAUAUUCUGUAGCAAGGUUAACCGAAUAGGGGAGCCGAAGGGAAACCGAGUCUUAACUGGGCGUUAAGUUGCAGGGUAUAGACCCGAAACCCGGUGAUCUAGCCAUGGGCAGGUUGAAGGUUGGGUAACACUAACUGGAGGACCGAACCGACUAAUGUUGAAAAAUUAGCGGAUGACUUGUGGCUGGGGGUGAAAGGCCAAUCAAACCGGGAGAUAGCUGGUUCUCCCCG